This is a long non-coding RNA of Callorhinchus milii (elephant shark), 1177 nucleotides long. RefSeq lists it as uncharacterized. The transcript has 3 exons. The record is from RefSeq and is a predicted model, not a curated record. Lineage: Eukaryota; Metazoa; Chordata; Chondrichthyes; Chimaeriformes; Callorhinchidae.
UGAGCAGAGUUCAGAGGGACACCAUAAGUUUGUGAGUAUACCACUAAGCUGCUCGGGCUCAAAAGAAAGAAGACAAAGAACAGCUGCUGCUGACUCCUUUAAACUGUCAGGAGGACGUCUCAUAACACUGGCUGGCCACUCAAGCUGGAGGUAGGAGUUGAAAGGGGCGGAGAGUGGAAAUAUGACUGAAAGUGCAGUGAAUGUGGUAUAUCUUGAGAUGGACCUUGAACGAGGUGAAACGAGAAUUCUGCAACGGAAUAAUGGUUUCCUUAAAUGGAAGCGUGAAAUGAUGAAGCAGAAAAUGGAGUGGUUGUUCAGAAGAAUCCUGUCUAUCUGAGAUAAAGAUUAUUAAUUUACUUCUGGCACCUGCAUGUCAAUCAUCCCACAGAGAAAAAAAACAACUAUCAACAGGAAAGUCUACCAAGAAUUUCACGUCACAAAUCACAUAAGUUCAAAGGGGAAAUUAAUAAAUCAAUUUAUAUGGAAGGUUUUUGGAUCCCUUAAUGGAAAAAAAAGUCCUUUCCAAUUGAGCUUUUAUAUUUGAGCUUUUUCAUAAAUCAAUCAUAGGACAGUCUCUGAAAACCAGUUAAAAGGUGUCAUGGAAGAUGGAAUUAAAUACUGUAGCUACAAAAUACAUUCUGAUAGGAGUUCAACUGCAAGCUCGAGUGGACUAAUUGCUAUAAGUAGUGUAAAAUUGAAGCCAUAUCACAGAAGAGCAGAUCAGUAUUUCUAAAAAUCAUAGAAUGAAUGUUUUUUUAUUCAAAUAUUGCUUGUGUAACCUAGAGCAGAUAAGAUGUGAGCGAGUGAGUGAGUGAGUGAAGAAAGUGUAGCCGUUUCUUUCCCUAUCAAAGAAUAGUCAGCAGGGUUUUGAUCUUUUAUAAUUAGAAAUAUUUUAUUUAAGACUUUGUGGGUAUUUAAAAUGAUCUGUGAGCUUGAUUCAGAAUGUUAUAUAAGAUAGGCAAGAACUGGAAAUAACUUGGGAGAAAGUUGGCAACCAGUAUAAGUAACAGCAAUCACAGAAGACAAGGGGUUCUUUACACUGGCGAUAAGACGGACAGACAUAAUACCAUCACAUUUAUUAUCAUGAUUCGCUUGCGGCAUUGAUCUCUAAAUUCUUCUUUAACCAUUGGCGAGAGAGCCUUCAGCCACUCUGCCCCCAACCUCUGGAAUUCCAUCC